AGUAGAUAGCUAACGUUAGCUAGGUUUAUUUUGCAGACAUUUAAAUUGGCUGAUGUAGCUAGCUAGCUUUUAGAAUAACAUUUACAUUAACUCGUUUUUAAACGACACUCAAAAUGUCUAACUGUAUCGCCCUUCAGACACAACUAACCUCGAUCAUGGAGGUUUUAGCCAAAUCAGCUGUGUCAGAAAUCGCCAAACUUAUCGAUGACAACUGUGCUGUAUUACAUUUCGAAAUAUCUCGGAAGCAUAAUGAAAAUGAAAUUCUGCGGAGAAAACUGCUCCUGAUGGAUAAUGAACUGAAGAUUGCGCGGAUUCCACGACAAACUGAGAAAUACAUGGACAGCUGUGCUUCAGACUGGAGACCCAGUCAACGAGGAGAUGAGGAUGUGUUUGGGUCAGCUUUGGGAGAAGUCAAGUUUGCAGAGAUAGAAACCCCUUUCAUUAAGGUAGAGAGACAGGAUGAUGGAUCAUGGAGACGGGAGCAACACAGAGAACCAAAUGGACAUGGUAACUGAAUUCAUUGGGCCAUUGGACAUGGAAACACCACAUACGGCAAUAAUGCCAUUCAGAAGCUUCCCAUUGGGAAUCAUCAGGACUUGGAAGAAGAAGAGAAUCAGGACCCACUAAUCCUCCUGGAGGAGCAGCUGGCAGAAGGUCAAGAGAAGCUUAGUGAGCUGUGCCAGUCUCAGUCUGGGCACUGUGGCGAGGAGGAGACCAGUGUUCUAGAGUUUGUAAUAAAGACUGAGAAGGAGGAAGAACAUUCUGGAUUCAGUCAGGCUGGAUGUCAGAGGAGCACAGUAAAGCAGCAGAACCCCUUGAGCUCUGAGUUUGUAAUGGAUGAAAGAGACAGUCAACUGUGGUCGUCUAUAGUUCAAGGGAACGAUGACAUAGUCAUAGAGACUGACUUUCCUGAUUUCUCUUAUGUAGCCGAGCAGUAUUCAGAGAGUUUUCCAGAUCGCUCCGUGGCUCAGCCCCAGCCACAGCCCCUCUCUAGCCCAGUGGAAGGCCCUAGUAAAUCAGCCAGCUCACCUUUACAGAGACCGUGCAAUGGAUCAAUGUACAACAAAGUCUUUCAGAAAGAGAAAGUAAGUGCAUCUCAGUCUGUGUCUAGUUCUUUUCAGUGCCGACCGCAGAUCAACCAUUCACAGCAGCAGACCAGGCAGAGAGAUCAGGUGUUCUCCCAGAGGGAUAAUCCCAUCCCACCGUCCAGGCCUCAAGACACUGGACACACAGCAGAGCGAAGCUUUGGACUGGGUGACACUGGCAGACCAACUGCCUCCCAUUUAGGGAUUCGAUUGAACAAUAACACUUUUACACCAGGUGGCCUCAGAAGCUUCACUAUGCCUCAUUAUAAUUCAAAGAAUCACUGGGGUACAGCCAUAACAGAGAAGGUUUUCAGUUGCUCGCAGUGCGGCAAGAGUUUUAGUCGCCUGUCCUAUCUCAAGAUACAUCAGCGAAGUCACACGGGAGAGAGGCCGUUUCGGUGCACCGUCUGCGGGAAGAGUUUUCACUGCUCCUCGCACCUGACUAUACACCACCGCAUUCACACGGGAGAAAGACCCUAUAGCUGUGCCACGUGUGGGAAGAGGUUUACCCAGCAGAGCAGUCUCAAGACACACCAGAGUGUCCACAGUGGAGAGAGACCGUAUGGUUGCUCUCAGUGUGGCAAGACUUUCACUCUUCUGCACCAUCUGAAAAGGCACAGGAUUAUUCAUGCUGGGUAUAGCUGAGUGGGUCUUAUUAUUAUUAUUAAACCUCUAUCCAGGAAGUCCGUAAAUAUGGUCCUCAAAGCUGAGUUUAUUUGUUUUACUUUAAAAAUUAAAAUAGUUCAAUAAAAAUUUGAACUUUGAUGUUUUAUGCUAAUUUCAACACUACAGAAACAUUUCAUGAAAUAAAAUACACAGUGAAUAGUUUUGCAUCAGGCCUUUUAAUAAACUGUAUGAAAAUCGGUACGCUCCAUAA
This is an RNA transcript of Salvelinus namaycush (lake trout), 1962 nucleotides long. It is a transcript of the gene named zinc finger protein 260-like, with no coding region annotated. NCBI's taxonomy places the organism in Eukaryota, Metazoa, Chordata, Actinopteri, Salmoniformes, Salmonidae. The record is from RefSeq and is a predicted model, not a curated record. The transcript is spliced from 4 exons.